GAUGAACGCUGGCGGCGUGCCUAAUACAUGCAAGUCGAGCGAACGGACGCGAAGCUUGCUUCUCUGAUGUUAGCGGCGGACGGGUGAGUAACACGUGGAUAACCUACCUAUCAGCCUGGGAUAACUUCGGGAAACCGGAGCUAAUCCCGGAUAAUAUUUUGAACCGCAUGGUUCAAGAGUGAAAGACGGUCUUGCUGUCACUUAUAGCUGAAUCCGCUCUGCAUUAGCUAGUUGGUAAGGUAACGGCUUACCAAGGCAACGAUGCAUAGCCGACCUGAUAGGGUGAUCGGCCACACGAGAACGGAGACACGGUCCUGACUCCUACGGUAGGCAGCAGUAGGGAAUCUUCCGCAAUGGGCGAAAGCCUGACGGAGCAACGCCGCGUGAGUGAUGAAGGUCUUCGGAUCGUAAAACUCUGUUAUUAGGGAAGAACAUAUGUGUAAGUAACUGUGCACAUCGUGACGGUACCUAAUCAGAAAGCCACGGCUAACUACGUG
This 497-nucleotide ribosomal RNA is filed under the name uncultured bacterium. Its description in RNAcentral is "partial 16S ribosomal RNA". It matches the Rfam family "Bacterial small subunit ribosomal RNA", at positions 28 to 507 of the family's 1533-position model. The record is from RNAcentral.